AACCUCCGCAAUGUGAGAAAUCGCGACGGGGGGAUCCCAAGUGCCAUUCUUAACGGGAUGGCUUUUCAUUAGUGUAAAGAGCUUUUGGAAUAAGAGCUGGGCAAGACCGGUGCCAGCCGCCGCGGUAACACCGGCAGCUCUAGUGGUAGCAAUUUUUAUUGGGCCUAAAGCGUCCGUAGCCGGUUUAAUAAGUCUCUGGUGAAAUCCUGUAGCUUAACUGUGGGAAUUGCUGGAGAUACUAUUAGACUUGAGACCGGGAGAGGUUAGAGGUACUCCCAGGGUAGAGGUGAAAUUCUGUAAUCCUGGGAGGACCGCCUGUUGCGAAGGCGUCUAACUGGAACGGUUCUGACGGUGAGGGACGAAAGUUAGGGGCGCGAACCGGGAUUAGAUACCCGGGUAGUCCUAACUGUAAACGAUGCGGACUUGGUGUUGGGGUGGCUUUGAGCUGCUUCAGUGCCGAAGGGAAGCGUGUUAGUCCGCCCGCUCGGGAGUACGUCGGCAAGACUGAAACUUAAAGGAAUA
Molecule: ribosomal RNA, 522 nt
Filed under: uncultured bacterium
Lineage: Bacteria
Description: bacterial SSU rRNA
Rfam family: Archaeal small subunit ribosomal RNA
Source: RNAcentral